CACACACACACACACACACACACACACACACACACACACACAGACCCUUGUCUCUCUACUAACUCUAUCUCACUUUCAUUCUAGCAGUCAUACUAUCGCUGUACCUAAAGUGUCCAUUAAUAGCUAUAGCUAUACUAAAGCUAUAGUAUUGGAUGCUGUCCAAUCGUCUGACACUGGAGCACGACUGAAUUGUAGACCGGAGCAGCACUGCACUCAUUCAAUGAGUGUGUGGUAAUAUUUUCCAAAAGAGAAGCUGGCUGCCAUCUAGAGAUUACAAGUUAGAGGCAUCAUAAACAAGGCCUCUCUUUGCGUAGAGAUGACGUUUUACGUGUGGAAAUUAUACCCUCUAUAGGAUAUAAAUGAGGAAAUGACCAGCACUAAUAACAUACAGGAUCUGUAUCUGUUUAUCAACUAAUGGGGGUAAUGAGAAGCACGUUGACAAAGGGAAACUAACGCAGCUUGAAUUCAAACUGGAAUGAACUUUCUGCAGGAAGACGAAGACGUUGCAGAUGUUUAACAAAGACAUUUACUACAAAUAUAUAUAGAACUAAUACAUAUACUAACAUGCAUGAUCCCCCAUGUGCCUCAGCAUCAAAUAUAACAUCACAUCAACACGAGCUGACUAAAUGAGACCAAAAAGGUUGUGGCUAUGAAUAAUACAUGCCACAGGAAUUUCAUCUUGAUGUAUUUCAAGUCCGGUUGAUGUUUGACUAGAGAGCUGCAUGCACUUUGCAUAGCCACUACCUGACAACAAUAUGGGGAAAACAACAAAGGGUGAUUAUUAUUAGGUUGUAAUUUAAAUUGCACCACAAGCAAUUAGCUGCACACUGAAAAAGCUUGAUAAUGCUUGCUAAACCUGAACAUUGUAUUAGAAUGUGAUUGCAAAAUGUGAUUAAAACAGUUUGAGAUUUUUCUUAUUAAUAGCAGAAUAAUCUUCUAAUAUACACGUCGUCUCCUUUGAUGUGCUGUGCCUUGUCACCUACCCACUCAAGAGUCCUUUAUUCCAUUUCAGAUGUCAUUGCCAAUGCAUGUUAUUCCAGGGCAAUUUGAACGGCCGACUAUUAUGCAGAUAACCACAGAAAGAAAAAGAUUUCUGAAGGAUGGAGGUACAGUAGAAAUUCCGUAAAGGGAAGGUCACCUCUAGCCGCAAGAAGAAAAUUUAUAUGUCCACAUACGGAGGGGACUUUCAGAAAAAUUGCAUGGACUUUGUUUUUCACAUUAAAUUUAAAAGAAAGGACAAGGACAACCAAAAAAAUUACAAAAAUUCUAUAUUGAAAUAAAUGGCACACUGGCAUGAAAACAUAUUCAGAAAACACUCCCCAAUAAUAGAGUUUGCGUUUGAAUCUCAAACUGUGACUUUUUCUACAGUUUUAUAUUGCAACAAAUCUUCAGCCACAAUAUAAUAACUGUUCACAUCAUUGGGUUAUAAUGAUCUCCAGUAUUUCUUUGCAUUUACAUAACUCUUAGCAGAGGCUGCCCAGGGAACAACGGCUAAUAAUGAGAGAAGCCGUGUGGCGCAGUCACAAUGUGUAUGUGAUAGGAAGAAAUGCAAGCUGCAAAUACAAUAUUAUAAAUGAUAUACAGUCAGUACUCUACAUAUUUCCUUUGCAACCACACUUUAAAACUUUAAAACACAUGUUUUGAUUUUAGGCUGCUGCUCUCACCUGAAUCGAACAUUGCAAGACGUUAAUGAUCAUUUAUCUACUUUUCUGCUAUUGUUCGGCUAUUUGCAUUGAUGCUCUUACUAAAAAUGACUCAAAUACUCAAGUUUUAAAAGAAGUACUCUGUCUUGUUUCACUCUAUAACAAAAUUAGCUUCUUCAUGAUGAUAGUGUUUCUGCUUUUGUUAAAUUUUGCUUUUUAGCAAAGCAAUACCUAGUUAUGUUAGGAAUGCUAAUAAUUUCUUCUCUCGAUGAAUGAAAGAAAUGCCACUCUAUGCUGCAGGUGCAUAUGUAGGGCACACUGUAAAACAAACACGUCUUUUAGUACUCUCAGGGUGAGCUGCACAGCGGGGAAGAGUAGCGCGUCAAGGAGGAUCACUGUUCAGGAGUUAUGAGUUGAAUAUUGUGACAUAUCAAUAGGACUUUUUCUUUUCAAGUGCGCACUGUAGGGAAGAAUCUAAAAGUUUUUCUGCUUCUCACUAAUGAGUUUUAACUUGUCUCUUUAUUUCCUCAUGAGUAAAGAUAUUGCAUUCCAAAAAAAACGUAGGGUGGAAAGACAAAACGUAAUAUAUCGGUUCUAGUUUAUAGGGGAAAAAUGUUUACAUCAGAAGAAAAUUACACCGGCAAAAAUGUCAUGUGUGUGUGGCUGCUUUAGAGUCAAUGUUCUGUACCUGCAUGUUGCCGUCUCUCUCCUGGGUCCCAUCUCAAUGAUCCAAUAACAAGCCAUCUGUCAUUGUCAUUGUAAUUAAUCUGGCGCUAUUUAGUGGAUAAUGAGAUGCUGUCAUGGGUUUUGUGCAGCUUUACUUCCCAGAGACUUGUUUCCUGUCUCCGUCAGAGCAAGGAGAAGAAGGAGGAAGUGGGAGGGAAAGGAUGCCACGUAGCCGCGCUGCAGCGUUGUGGCUGCUGUUGGUGUCAGUGAACAGAUGGUGGGGAGAUUUAUUCGCCAACGUUCACCUGCUCGGAGAACGCACCCUUAUGACACGAGUGCUUAAAGCAGUGCUCAAAGUAAUCAACAACAAAGGGGGUUUGUGUCCGCCAAGUCAUACACGUAUUUGUCUCCCAUGCAGGACGUGCUAGAUGGGAAAUGAUUAUGUCAGCGGUGGCGAUGGUUUCAGUCGAUUUUUUGGGAGGCAUACAAUGCAGCUCAAGUAUGGUUGUGGUGAGUGUUCUAUAUUUAUCAGAUUAUUUAUGGGAAAGCUGUCAAUUCUACUGAAGAUAAUCUAAGUACCAGCCAGCUCUCAGAAAUCAGAAUCCUCUGCAAUCACACGUGAAAAUUAAUCGCUCGAUUAGAAGGGCGGCUCCUGCUCGAGAUAGAAAUUGGCCUGCCACAUGUAAUAUCUCAUGCUAAUGCUUUUUUUUCCUCAACCUUAGGAUAAUUUGCUUCCUCUGCAAUAUAUAUAAUGGAAUUGUAUAACUGGGCAGAUAAAUACAUUUUGACAGGGACAGACAGUGUGAGGGCCUGUGAGGUUUUACACAUAACAUGAAUAUAGGUGAUCUUCAAUCAUUCACCGGGAGUUUUAUGCCUUACCUGUCUCAGGCUUUAUUAGCAUAUCUCAGGUUUUACAGCACUUUACGACAGAAUGAAUUGAUCACACCUACCAAAUAUAUAAGACAGAGCAGUGAAGGCAGAUGAGUAAUUUGAUGGAUGUAAGAAUCAUGCCUUUUACCUUGCACGGAUUCCCUUCUAUUAAAAAACCUAAUAUAAAAUUGAUCGACGCUGUCAUAGGAAUAGAGCGAUGUAAUGACCCAGACAGAGCUGGGAAAACAGAGUGAUGAAUUGAAAGCCUGAGUUUUGACAGUCAGAAGAAUGAAGUUAUUGAACACAAUUUUUUCUUUACAUUGACCACCAGCAUCACUUUCCUUUUCAAUCAUGCUCGCUACUGACAGCCGCCCACAAGUUCUGUGACCCAACUCCAAAGACACAAAGGGAACGAAAUAAAUGUUCUUGGUCAGCAGCCCCAGUGGUCUCUUCAUUUUCAACUUGUUGACCGCCAAGUGUUUUAUUUGUUACCCAAAUUAUUUCAGUGAUAAAUUUCAGCGUUUUCAUCAUAAACACGACAUCCCCCGAAUCUCAUCCACUUGGUCUUCGCCAACAGUCAGGCCAACUAAACAUCUCUCCAGCCAGCAGGCAUUUCACACCCACCGAUAAUGUAACACACACACGCGUACACAAGCUCAAAAAACACACACACGUUUGGGGGGGAAAAAAUGAAACAGUUGGUGAUCACUCCACCGACCAUUGAUCAUCCAAAGUCAUUCAAAGCAUGAACAAACACCUAUUCAAACCUUUGAGCUGAACUCAAUUAUACCAUUACGACUCAUUAUUUCUAGAUUAUAGUGUUCAGAGAAUCAUUACUGACUCGAUGUGGCUUAAUGAGAGUUUUGGGUGAUGAUUUGCAGUCAGUAAAGACUGUGAUCAAAAGAAGACUACGCAUGUUGUCAUUUAAUUGCUUUAAGAAAUGUAUUUUAUUAAAAAGGGCUCAUGUACAGUUCAAACACAAAUGUCACCAUUUGAUGCACUGCACCAGAUUAUAGCUGUAGCUGAAUUGCAUACGUAGUGCCUAAUAAAAUAAUAAAAGCCUGCCGGAGGCUUACUGAUGUGAAAAAGCGCUCUUGACAAGAUUGACUAAAAAACUAUCCAUAAUAGCUAAAAAAAAUAACAACUCAGCUGGACAAUCCUGCUCAUGGGAAAAUGAGCCUGUGGUCUGCAGCAGAUGAGAGCUGAUACAGGAUGACAGAGACAGUGAUUUGACGGUUCUAACGGUUUGUUAAAUAGACUGUGUGCAUUGCGUUUUCCUCGCAUUGGCAGCUAGCUGAUGUCUGGGCACAUUAAUCAGAGCUUCAUUACUGCAGUGGAGUUAUGAGCUACAGCAGGGUUGGAGAUGAGGACCACCGGGACCUGUUCAGACCUGCUGCUACCAUCUUGUACGAUGGUGGAGUGCUGCUGUUACAAAUAGCAUUCUUUGACGCUAUGUAUGUCUGACUCCUGACAUCCCUCUUGUCACAAUGCACAUGCACACACACUGUCACUUUCUGUUCGCUGGUGCACUUGUAUUUAAACUUCAGAUCAGACUCCCUGCUCAUUGUUCAUUGGGACUUCAACAGGGCAAACCUCAGCCAUGAACUGAAUACUCAAAAAUAAUAUUCUGACAUAUACUGGGCGUAUACAAGGCGACGAUGCAACAUGUGUAAAGGGGAUUACAGGAUUAAUGUAAAAUGCAUCUUUACUGUAUUCAUAGCGUUUUCCCCAAGAACAGCCUUUAUGGACAAAAUGAAUGAAGGUCAAUCAUCUUAAUUAACAUUCCAUAAAAUAUUUGCAACACCCUCCGCUGUAACAGGAGUCUACUAUAAUACCGCCAAUUCAGCAAGUGAAGGUAUUAUUCCCAUUACUAUUUCUGUCAACAUUAAUGCGCAUCACUAACUUUGUUUCUUCCACAGAGUAUUUGUGCUUUGUCGCCAACUGCUUGCUUCUUUCCUGAAGUCUUUGUGCUUUCCCUCCCCACAGGUUUACUUGGAUGGUAGGAUGUUGCAUGUGUACAGACUGUAAAGCCCUCUGAGGGAAAUUAGUAGUUUACGAUUUUGGGUUAUACAAAAUAAAAUUAAUUGAAAGGUAAUGUGGUUUGGGUGAAAAACAUUUUUUUAAUAUCUAACCAGACCGUAAAAGCAGAGGACAGGGGUUUAGAGAACUGCCACCAAUACUACAGGAUGUAAUCCAUUUCUUUCCACAUCCAUCACAGUUACUCGUGUUUUCAUGAGACGAGAUGCAUGAAGUGAUGUGUUACUUCAGCUAUAAAUAAAGACAGGGAAUUUAGACUAGAUUUAAAUCAAUAAUCUGUUGUGCAACCGCUGUAAGGCUGUACUUAUAAUUGCAGUUGCAUGUUAACGGCAAUUAGCUCAACACAAGGGAAGAGAUAACGUACUGAUGUCCAUUUUAGACACGGUCACACACACACACACACACACACACACACACACACACACACACACACACACACAACCUUCCCUUCUCAGUGAUUUUACAUAUCUUCAUCUCACAUCCUGAAGCCCCUUCAGCCUCCUGCUACAUCUGUUUGGCCGAAUCGUCCUGUCUCAAUUGGAUUAACUUGUGUGAUUGUGGGAGAGGACGAUAAGAUGAAAAUGAACAGACAAUUUUCUGCUACUUGAGAUCUGUGCUGCUUGUGUCCCAACAUGUACUCUUUCCCUUCUCUUCUCAGAAAGGCUUCCUUAACUUUGCCAGAUUUUAUUCCUGUAGAACCGUAUAAACGGUAGACUUCAAUGAGUCUACAUAAAAAAAGGACCAAAUUGUGGCGGAAGAUUUUGCACAGACAAUCGUUAAGUAAGAAACAAAGGCUCUGAGUCAAGUAUGUCUUUUCUCCGUUUAUUUCCUUGCAAGGGAAAAAGGGUCACAACAGCUACGUGGUCAGUAGACUGUCAAGAACCUCCUUUUCUUCCCAACUUUUGAGGAGCUCUGGAAUUUAGGAGGUUAAUUUCUGUUUGGCUUUUCCAAGUACAAUUCUUCAUGCUAUUCAAUCCGAUUAGUCAUUCCAAUAUUCAGCAAUUGUCUUCACCUAAUCGUGAGUAUACAUUGAUCAAUCAUUGAGAGCAUUAAACAUAUAAGGAAAUUGACAUGAUCUAUUUGCAUUGUACAACUCUAUUAAUUUGUAUCAAUAAUUAAAUAAACAUGUAAAUGAUCUAACACUAAACCACAUUCAUGCAGACAAACCUCAUCUCAUUAUUGUUACAAAAGAAAAGCCCUCAAUUGUUUAAAUGAAGUAAAAACAAAAAACGUCUUGUCCUGAUCUGUUGACAACAGGUCUUAGAAUUUGAGAAUACCCAAACAGUCAUUUGAAGUCGUAUGCAGUCUUGUUGUGUCCUUCCUGUUGUAUAAAAAACUACACAUGGGGGGUUCAGAAUUUCUAUUCUUAAUGGUGUUCAACAAGGAUGGAGGGUGGGAAAAAAAGUAUGUCAAACUGAACAGAAGCCAAGUUCUAUAGUUAUUAAAAUGCACAAUUCAAGAGCUUAUCGGUCGGUCACAAAAAUAACUUUGUACUUUUCAUUUUAGGGUUGCUGUGUCAAAAACACAGUAAAUAAUUAUUCUAAUUAUGUCUAAUAUAGAGUAAAUUACAACUCUGGGCACACUUGAGUAAGUGUGCAGACAUGUAUGAUUUAACAAUUUUACAUACAUUAGAAUUUCCAAAGUAAAGACAUAUUUCUAUAAAUCUUAACAUUGAAUAAUUGUACUUAAAAAACGUAAAAUCGUUAUAGAUACCAAAAUCAGCACGUAGGCGUCACGACAGAAUCAAAUUAGGAGAAGUGCUUAUUGUCCAUCCCCGAGAACGAGCGGCACAAUGUGUGAUACCUAAUAUUUGAUGUGCAUUAAAUGUACACACUAACACGUAGAGGGAACGAGUUGGAUCACUGGCAGAUCACAAUAACUAAUAUUUACUGUGUUCAAGAGGACCGAGCAUUUGCUCUCAUUUCCACAUUCAAAUCCCGGUUGUUUUAUGCAAAUCAACCUGCUUCUGAAAACUCUUUAUUAAAGGAGCAACCAAGAAGUACCGACUUGCAUUCCCAUUGGAAGAUAAGGCCCUUCUCUGUGGAUUUAGGAGGAAAUGUCAGCUGGACUCAUUUGGGUGAUGGCGGCGCGGUGGAGAGGCCAUUAAACAGUAAAACGGCUCCCUUUAUUUGGAGGCUGAUAGAUGUGGCAGUCAUCUUCAUUCACAGCAUUCCUUGUGAAAUGGAACAAAUCUUUACAUUUCUCAUUCCUUCUUUCUCACCCUGUGAACACUUAUGCAGCCUAUUGUGGAACAGAAGAAGCCUCUCCAGACUCGUGUAAUUAAUAACAAUGGUAUAAUCAAGUUAAGGACCGUUUUCCGCUUCUUCUUUUUUUUGCAGUGUAGCGAUGAUUCUGCCCUAAUGAGUUUGCUCUAUUAGCUGCACAAGAAACCCCACUGCCUCAGUUCCUUCUCACAACCCAGGAAACUUUAGAUAAAAAAAUCCGUCAGGGGGUUUGAAUGACGCAGGAGUGAGUGACGGAUGAGGGACUUAAGUAAUUAAGGUAAGACCACAGCAGGGAACAUCACACCGGAUGAAGGCGAGGGAUAGAGGAAUGUCACAAAAAGACAAAAUAGAAAAGGGCCACAGGCUCCUACAAAAUCUAAAGAAGCAAAAUGUUUGAAUGCAGUAAAAACAGUGCAUUGUAAAAAUUGUUUCUCACUAAACCACCCGAUAUCAUUCCUCUCCCGAUUUCCCUUUGUUAUUUCGGCUCUAUUAUUUUGGUGUUUGUAUGGAGUCUCACAAGGGUCCAAUCUCUAACCUCUUUUGUCUCCGCUAUCAGCAAACACAAAACCAGUUAUUGGUUAUGUGUAGAAGAUACGCUGCUUUAAAUCUGACUAUGAACCGAUAACAUGAGCACUUUAGAGUGAUUGUUUAGCUUGAACAACAUUUAUAUCUCAGAGGUAAGAGGUCUAGGACACCAGGAUCCCUGACGCUAUUUCUUAUCGACUCACUUUUUUUUUCUAAAAGUAGAUCUUGAUUAGCUAAACACUUUUUGUCUACAGUGGAAGUAACGAUCACGGAUAUCGCACAAUCCCUUACUUUCCUCUCAUAUUCUAGGUAGCAAAGGGAUCAGAGUUAGCAGGGACAUUUGUCUCCCCAUUAACUUAUUGCUUUCUUCCUCGGGAACCCAAAGGCAUCCCGCGGGUGAACUUUGUUUUCCACCUCAGUUCCCUCUCGAUUAGAACAGUCUGGUAAACUCCCCGACCGUACUGGGCUGCAAAACCGCCCCGGUGCCGGCUGGAGGUCAAGGAGAGAUGAAUCUGACAGAACCACAUUAUCUCGGGGACUCGGGGAUCCAAAACACCACCCUGAACGUUGGAAACACCCACUUGAAAUCAGUUUGCCGAACAUCCCGUUUGGGUUCAUGAGGUCUGUCUUAUUCUACUCACCUGGAGCAGAAGAUGAGUAUUAUAUCAUUCAAAAAAAUAAAUAGUGGUACAUAAAAACAUUUUAAAACACAUCUGUGUUGAAGGUUCUCUUACUGGCUAUUCAGUCCAAUUUGGACCACGUUUGCGUCUGUGUGUUCUUGCAUUGACGAGUUAUUCACUUCCUACAGCUCUCAAUUGAAUGUGACAAUGACAGACUUCUGUCCUUGUGAUUUUUUUUCGUGGCCAAAGAAAACACACACACAUAAUGUAUUAUAAUGGCCGAGGCCAAGUUGAGAAAGGAUAAUAUAAAGAUCACAGUCGUGACUAAAGAGCUUGCUUCAUCACACCUACACGGAUCCUUUAACCCCCCUCCCUCUUAGAAUACAGUGUGAUACAAAACCUGUAUUAUUAUUAUUUAAGGUUUAGUUUUAGCGUUCGGUGCUAAUGGGCUCUGCCAAUGUUUCUUGCUAUUCAUAAUUACAAGGGAAGCAAUACAAGUAAAUAAACUACAACCACAUUCAACACAAGGACAAUCGGGGUCAAAUCUUAACAGGAGAGGACCAAGAUGUCUGAGCCGAGACAGUCCUAAGCAAACACAUGUGUUCUCUUACAGCUGCUUGUAAUUAAAGGAACCGUCACGUUCCAUUGAGCAGAUUGCUUCCCUCCAGUCAGCCUCACAAGGACCAACCAACUGUGCAUAAGGGAAGAUUAACUUUUAUCCGGCGAAGUACCCUGCACACUUAUCUUGUGUAGAGAGUGCAGGGAAAGCAAAGUAGAGAUGUUGGGAGAAAGAGUUGCGGGACGACCAGGUAAACGAGAGAGAGAUGCGACUGGGAAAAGGAUGUGAUGAAGUAAGGCUGGGAAAAGAAGUCAGAUCCUAAAAGCUAAAAGGAGGAGAUUGAGAAAAGGUAGGGGAAUAGAGGGAAAUCCCAGGUCCAGAAGGUAAAGAGGUGGAAGAGGAAGACUGGAGAGACAUUCAGCUCUCUGUUUUUGAAUAUGAACAAAGCACCUGGAAUAAUCAGUCAUGGUGCCACAGUCUGUUCCGCUUUGCCCUUUACUAGCAUUGCACUCGCUUGCAGGCUAAAAGAUCCAGCGGAGUGUGACCAAUGAGGAAGACCAUCCACAAGUCUGACCCAGAUGUGCAUUAGACAGAUGAACAUUACGUUAAUGAUUUAACACUUGUUGAAAUAGUUGUAUAUCUUUGGAAUGUGAUGUGUAUGCUAGGACAUCUCUGCAGCACAACAUUUAAUGUAAAUUAUAUUCCACCUCCUAACUAAUGCAACUUCCGUAAUUACAGUAAGCCAAAAUACUAGUUCGAAUAAAAAUAAAAAUUGUUUAGCUCUAACAUCUACAGUAUGAUCAUUUAAUGUUAUCUUAUUAUUUUUUUGAGCCCUCUUAUUGGUCAAUGACCAACUCCUGCCCCCGUAAAGUUAAUAUUAAGAUGUAUCAUUGAUCUAAUUAAAGUAAGAGAGUAUACAGCAAUUACAAAAAUUUGAAAUUACCAAAACAUUGUACAAGGAUCCAAUAAUUAUAAUACAUAUUCUCAAUCAAAGAUAAUACAGAAGGGAGAAGGAGCAGUAUUUGGAUUUUUGCUCCAUCCAUCUGUCAAAUUUGCCAGUUAGCAUUUUUUUUUUGUCAAAUUUACACAGCAAUGGACGGUUGUUUUACAUCGCGCACACACACAACAGCAGAGACAGGGUCUCACUCACACACACACACACACACACACACACACACACACACACACACACACACGAUAAGCCCAGUUAGAAACACCUUAAUGACUUCCAGUUAGAAAAACCCACUUUUAUCCAAGGACGAUAGUGAGAUAUUUAUGCACUACGGUGCCCAUGAUUUAGAAAGUGGUUACAUUAGUUUCAAUAAUAAGAACACAAUUAACGUAAAUGAGCUAAAUGAAUCAUGUUAGCAGGGCUCACUGGUGGUGAUUAACUGACGAGAGCCAUUAACAAAGACUGAGCGACAAAAGCUCAGCCUCAAACUAGCAUGCUGUGCCUGUUGACACGUAGAACAAAGCAUGCAAGCAAGGUGCGCCGCGUAGCAUCAUGCUGGUCAUUUCUCAUUUUAUUUGGUGUGAAUUUGAGCUCUAUGUUUUCCUCUGUGCUUUGAUGGAUGUAAAGAGUCUGUGUAAUAAUGAGUCUCAAAAGGAUCUACCCAAAGCAACAGCCUGCUUAAGGGAAAGACUGCUGGCAGAUGUUUGAAAUCACUGCUGCCCAACUUCAGCAAUAAGAACCACGUUUGCAUCAAACUAAUUGCCUUUCAUGCACAAUCCAUCCCGAUGAAAUCUCGCCCACGGCAGAUACGAUUUUAACAUUUUUCGCUAGUGUCAAUAUGAACAUCAUCAAGCUCACACACAUACACAUAAGUAUGCAUAGAAAAGCAUUGCGGUGGGAGGAAUUGUUGAAUUUCCAAGGCCCCCCCACUCGCUCUUGAGUUUCUUUAUCAAUCGUGCACAGCUCUCCCAGGGCUCUGUAAUUUCCAAAUAAAUAACUCAUUAGUGGCUGCGGCAUGAGGAUUAAUCAGCGGCGACUGCGGCUGCUCCUGCAUCUCCGCAGGAGUGUCCCGAGCCUCCCACCACAUUCACAUCAAGCCCCAUCAGGCGACGCUGAAUGGCAGCAAUGACUGUGGUGGAUCAGGAGUAGCAGCGUCAAACCGCUACGUCAUGCCAACAUCACUAAAUUUAAAAGAAACAAGGCUUGUUGAGAAUAGAGAGGGGGAGUUAAUCAACUCACAGAUGGGUCCCGUUAUCAAAUUAUCUGUUUAAACAUGAACAUUUCCCAAUGCAACCCGUGAAAACGUUUUCAUCAUCUUUCUCUCACAUCCAAACAUGCCCUUUGAUGCAUUUCUUCAAUUAUCGAGAGACAGCAAGUCCUCGUCUUUAGUCUUGUAGCUAUUACAGAAGAACAGGAAAAUCUUUUUUUCUCAGUCUAAAAAUAUCUCGUCCUCCAUGAUCCUUGUAUUUUAAAGUUGAUAUUAAAAACAAUAUAUUCUGCAGAACUGUCUCUUCUGGUAAGAUAUCAUAUGAAAUAAUACAACAAUAACUCCUGGAUCCGUGGUGAAGCCCUACUCAAAUAUGCACUCGGCAUGUCAAAUGAUGCAAGCCGCGCUCCGGUGGCACUGUGCUUCGGACUUAAGGCUUUAGUUUGUGACAGUUUUGCCUGAGAAUUUAAACAGUCGAACAGAAAAACUUUGCAUGAGAAUAAGCUCUAGUUUGAGGAUUAUGUUUUUGGAUAACAUUGUGAGCGCUUCAGUCUAUACCGUUUGCAAUCCCUGCAAAAUUCAAAAUUCCAGCUAUAAACUGAGAUUUCAUCUCCAACAUUUGAAGGAUAUCCUAAGAUUACUUAAACAAACAACUUAAACAACACAUGGCAUAGAACCAGUGAAUAGAGACAGACGCACAUGUCGGGCAGUUCAACUCUACGUAUCAAUAAAAAAUGGGAAAGCGUUUAACAAAGUGCUCUUGAAGAGUUCCACUUGGGAUUUUUUCGUUGUUAGUAUGCAAACUCAACACUCCCGGUUACCUCCCAGGAAAGGCCAAUAACUACGGCUGUUGAUGGAAUUUUUCCAUCCAAAGUGCUGAGUGAUAGUCACUGGGGGCUGAUGUUAAGGUUAGAGUGUCCCUACAUUUGGGAUAUAACAUAAUUUAACAUAAAAUAAUUUAUUAACUGUUAAUUAAGCAUUCUCGGUGCAGUGACAACAUGGCUGUUUUGACCAUUAUUCCAUCAACCUACUGGAUUUGUGUGAUAAAGUCUGGUGGAAGAGACAAUGAGAGGAAAUGGAAGAGAAAUUAGGAGGUGCAUUAGUGCACACAAACACCGAAACACUCUGCUCCUAUAUAUCUAUUAUGCUCCCUGUAUUCACCAGUAGGAUUGUUAACAGUCCGAGCCCUUAAAUAGAUCAUUACAAUGUGUAUCAGCCACUAUCAGGCUUCCAUUUUCUUUCGCUCUCGCCAAGUUCAGCGUUCUGCUGCCCUCCCUGUCUUUAUUGCCCCCCACUCUCAUCAUCUGUAAUCCUCUCCCUCUCGCUGCCUUGUUCUCAUUCUGUUUCUCCUUUGUGCCCAUGGAGACCUCAGUGUCAAAUAUUAGGGGAGGAAAAGAGGGAAGAACAACAGUGAGAGAACAUCUAAUUACUCUUGUGAGCUUAUGCCAGGCACGCCGGGUGAAUCCUAAACUCAGUUCCAAAGCACUAUUGUCAUUCUAAAACCAGACAGCAGCCAUAAAUGGGGUGAAAAUGACACGUGAAAAGAAAGGAAGUGGUGGAUGAGGAGCAACUCGGAGAGGAAGGGCUGUGGGGGCAAGAAGGAAGGCGGAGAAAGGGAGGAAGUUGGGGUGGGGGGAAUGACUGCAGAGGACAACGCAGGAAGCUCAUGUGGGGUACGAGAGCACUAGCCUGGCGAAAAAAGAUGAGCAAUUUCACUUAUCGUCUGGAACACACUCGACGCGGUGCGUUAGUGAAAGUCUGCUCUGCUUUACUUGACAGCGGCACUAAGUUGUUUUUUUUCCCCACAGGGCAAUCAUACUUUCUCCGUGGUCAACCUCGUCCUUUUAACUCACAGAAUGAUUCUGCACACAAACGCACAACCGCCGCACUUCACCUCAACCCGCUUACACAAAGACACUGCACACGCAAAACCCUCCUCCGUAUGUCGUCAGUGGGACUCUGGCUACAUUGUCCAAUUAAAGCGAUGCCCCCACAUGGUCGGGCGCUUUGCCCUUGACUGCUGAGCCAACAGGGCUCCGUGUUCUUGAUACGCACACAUUUCUGUUUGUCUAAUUGGGAGAAAAAAUAUUGGUUAAACUUAAGAUUCAUUGUGUAGAUCCAGGACGAUUCCACAUUCAGAGAGCAGAAGCCAGCCAGGGAUCUAUCCACCGACCUUGUGGUUCAAGGGCGAUUCACUACACGUAAUGUGUAAGGGUUUUUAUGGUGUUGAUGAGAAGGCUCCAUUGCACACAUGAGGCCUGCGCUUUGCUCCGUGCAGCACAAAGCUGCCGUGACAGCGGAGAGGCCAUCGGAAAGAAAGCUGCAUUGGGUUUGAAAGGGCCCAAACUUGUGUUUAAUGGGUCCUAAGUGAUUCUUGACGUUAGAUAUACAAAAACAGGCCAGUAAAUUUCAAAGAUUUAAUAGAAUGGGCUCCAAAAACACAAAGAGAAGCGAUUGUGACGUAAGAGCAAACAUUGCUAAAAGUAGUUUUUCACAACCGUUUACCCCUUUUGGUCCAAAACCCAAUCCGUUAUAACAGCAGAAAAUCCAUAUAUGCACAUUGAUCAACAACAAAGUGGGAACUGGACCAAUAACUAGAAGUAAUUGUAAUUGAUCAACUGGCAACAGAACCAAGUUAGAAUCACCACUGGAAGCCAAAUGACUAUGUGCACUCUGCAGCAUUACAUUGGUCACAUAGUGUAUUUAUAUACUGCGAGUAGCGUUGGAAUUUAAUAGUUUUGUAGUCAUGCACAUUUCAUUUUUUUGCUGGUGUAAAUAGCAAAAACCUUAUAAAAAGUCCAUGGACUAAAUUUGAAUGCUAAAAUAACUUUUUAAAUCCUAUAACUGAAAUGUCAAAAGAAUAUCUUUUUUCCAUCCGCAUACAUCAUUGAUUACUUUUGUGGCGUUUCAGUUUUUUAGUAAAGGAGCCAUUUCCAAAUAGCAUUUGGCAUCUCCCUUCAAAACGCUCAUCAAAUAUGUAUCAAAAUUGAUUGAUUUCAUUCCACAGCUUCUACAAAAGUCUCUCAACAAUUGCUUACAUCCGCGUCAGCCACACUAAGGUACCGUGCUCUCAUCCACUGACAGACACUCCUGAAAUGGCAUUUCUUUGUAUGAGUGAGUGUGUCUUCUUGGAACCGACAUGUAGCCAGAUGCAAUUGGGAUCCAAUAGAAUGUAAAUAGCUGAUCCACACUGAACUGUAUAGACACCAGUUCUUUGACAUCUAGCAAAAAGUUGUGUUCAAGGGGCAAUGAGGCAUUGCGCAUACUUCAUUAACAACCUUUAUUGUCUCACUAUUUGACGAGAAUGCAUUGAUACAUCAUACGGCAACGUUCCUCAGGACUUUAAGCAGAAAUUGUUUAAAUAUGUCGAUGGUGCCAAUGACAGUAACCAAUAGCAAACAAAUACAAUAUAUACACAAUACAAGUUGGAUUUAAGUCAACAGGUCACAUGGUCCAUGAGGACAUGUCAUUGUGGUCAAGACCUCAUUUUUAUCUUUUUAAUUAGGGAUUCCUUAGAAAAUUUAUCCAUCCACUCAGCUCUCUUAAAAUUGGACAACCUGACAUUGCUCACCCACACAUUACCUGGUGUGAUUCACCCCUCAGAGUAGUCAUUAUCUGUGUGUGAGUGUGCGCGCACCUGUGUGUGUGUGUGUGUAUUUUGGGCUGGCAGGACACAUCAUUGUGGGCUGCUGCAAAAGAGAUCCUGUCAGGCCUAAUUUACUAAACCGGUCGGGACCAAUCAUACCGUAACACUGAGGUGAUGCUGCAUGCAUUGUGUGGGAACUGGACGUACUCACAGUGAUUCAUAGUGGAAGACGCAUACUAGUGAGAUAUUAAAUCCUUCUCUGAAAAACUAAACCUUUACAAGGAUGUGCAAUUUUUCAACAAAAACUGUUUUAUCCUGUAUUGCUUAAUGCAAGGCAAGGUUUAACAUUUAAAUCUGAAUACACCAAUACCGUGAUUUCUUUAGGUGAAAAGGAGAAGGAAGCCUUAAAGACCAGCAGUAUUCAUUGUGCAUCACUUUGCUGUGUUAGUUUGUGAACAUAUUUCAACAAAUACAACUCCAAAUCAAAUCAUUAGUAAAAGAAAUCUUGAUCGUGUUUUGGUGGAUUACGUUAUAUGGAUAUGUUCUACUUAUUGACAAUGAGCACAUUACGUUAUAAAAUGCAACUCUUUAAUUAAUAACUAAAUCUAAAGCGAGCAUAGCUUUUACAUUUUUGCCCGGGGAGCAAUUAGGGGUUACGUGUCUUGCUCAGGGACACUUCGACAUGGGACAUGGAGCAUGGAGAACCACCAACCUUGCGGUUCCCGGUGCAUCCUCUCUACCCAUGCGCCACCGUCGAAUAAUGAUGCAUAUCCUAUAGCUCGAGUAGGAUAUCCUGUCCAAUUUGAAGUCAACAAUUACAUAGCUCGAUAAUUAUGAAGAGAAAGCAGAAAAAUGAUCAGUACUUUAUUGUGACAUUAGAUUUAUUAACUUUACUCAGGUUGGUUAUUUUUCAAUCAGUUCUUUUGCAUAAAUAAAUAAUUGCUUUUCGAUAUAUUCUUAAAAUAAAUAAUAUGGGUGCUUAUCACAAGUCUUUAAUGACUUGGCACCACUCAUUUUUAAAUACCUGGUUUAUAGUCAGUGUUGUGGGUUCACAUGCACAAACAUGCACUAACUGAACGUAUGACCCAGAUGCAUCAACAAAACAAGGAGACGCAUAAACAACACGCAGCGCAAGUGGGAUUCCUUUUUCUUCUCUGGUGGUCAUUGCUAUGUUCUAUCUUUACAUAGCAAAAAGUUGUUUUGCUGCUAUGUUGACGCUCCGAUUGCCACGUGUGUCUAAUUGAAUUUCGUUUCGAGCCAGCAGACAAGCGGAGUGCACCCGUGGACUUUUGUUGUUGACGAGAGAGCAAUGCGAGUGAAAACAUGGCUCAAUCUCAGCAGAGCCGUGAGCAUUGAUGUGGACGACGACCCUAUAACAGGUGUGAGAUGGGGCUAAAUGGAGAAAAAUGAUGUCCAGUCAGGCGCGCAGGACCUUGUCCCCAAGCAGUUGUUCAGCAGUUUGAUCUACAGCACAGGUCACCUUGUCCACCCACUUACAACCAAGCUGCAGCAAAACCCAACCUGAUUCACAAGCAUCAGGCGGAGGCAAGAUUAAUCAUUGGGUCAAUAUGAUGAGGCUGCCUUCUCUCACCUCUGUGCAGCAUCCUUAUAUCACGUAACCUUCCAUUCAGAACAAAUGCCGUUUUGAAACCAAAGCAUGAGUUAAUCCUGAGCUUUUACAAGCAAAAGAGAGGAAGCUCUGAACAAUAACACAUACAGUAUAGACACACUGGAGCUUGGUCAAGAAAUUGGCCAACAUUAGCUCAUUGAAGGUGUCUUGAGUUGCCAUAUGUAAUAAUUGGGCUACAGAAUAUAAAAUAUCAAAUAAUGAUAAACUUAAAAAUAAAUAUAUAGCUUCAGGAGAAACAGCAUCGUAACCGAAGGAUUAUAUUUGGCCUUUGAUGAUUUAUAAAAUACGGUUUUAAGAAGAUAGAUGUGAAUGCUCACACUGGUUUUAAAACAUUUCAUAAUUGAACGACAUGGCUAUAAAGCAGCCACGUAAAGUUUGUCAUGAACUAAAUUACAUCCAUAAACCUCUUGACAAUGUUUGAUUAUUUUUUAGGUCACACCUUGCUCAUGAGUUCCAACCAAGAGAAUUGGUCGUGUGCUUGGGAUGCUGCUGAGGAUUAACAUUGGAGUGGGAGCUGGACUCGUCAUCAGAUGUUUUGUGGCACAGAAUGAUAAAAACACAAUUAUCUGGUAAUGACUGGCUGAAACCACAAAAUAAAAGGAUCCAAUUAUUUGUGUUGCCAGUUCACUGCGGGGGAUUAGUAACUGACAGCUGGAUAUCUACUGGUCGGUGUGGUUCACUGGCCAGGAGAUGCAUUAGAUUUCAAAGAUAUGCGGAAUAAAAACCUUUCUGUGACAAAAGGCCAUUAUUUUAAUAAUGUGCUUCAAACCAACAACUUCCUAGAAUUCAAAUAAAUAUACAAUUGUAAACAACCUUUCACACACUUUAGACUAUGAGGUAGAACUUCCUUGUGAAGCGUUUUAAUGUCUUCUCUUACUGGUAUUCAUCUCUCAUUGGACCAAACUUUGUUCAAGAUGUUUCGCUAUAAAUGAGUUUCACAAUUGCUAUUUCUCCAGCUUUAUAAAGACUUUUAUCCUUAUUGCACUCGCACCAGAAUUAACCCCAUGAUGAUGUCACUGCACUGGAUGACAACUGAGGGCAGAUAGGAGCUUCUCUCCCUUUACCUUUAAUUACAGUUAAUCAUACCAUCGCUGCAGCAUUAUCACCGCAACAUUGUGUGGAGGGAUUUGACAUGCCUGUAAUGAGAUGUCAACAAAAAGGCAGACACAGAUAAUGGAUGUAUUCUCUGCCCAAGAAUGGUUUCAAAUGAAGUGCUAUCCUGAUUAAAGGCCACACUUCAGACAACCCAAUUAGCAUCCUCAUCUUCAUCAUCCUUUAAUUAUUUCGUUUGAGACGUUCAACGUAUUCAAUGAUAAUAAUAAUACCACAUUUAUUUUGUGUAGCACUUCUAGGGGGGGAUACUCAAAGGCACUUCACAUGGUGGAAACAGGAGCAGCAAUAACAUUAUGAACAAAUAAAUUAGAUGACAUCGUAAUAGUAAGGAACUAAACAAAGACAAACAUAAUCAGCAUCACGGGAUGAAAGCAGAUUGAAAAAGUUUUGAAAAAUGACAGGGAAUGUGUGAUG
Molecule: long non-coding RNA, 18047 nt
Organism: Gasterosteus aculeatus aculeatus (three-spined stickleback)
Lineage: Eukaryota; Metazoa; Chordata; Actinopteri; Perciformes; Gasterosteidae
Source: Ensembl